This 252-nucleotide ribosomal RNA is filed under the name uncultured bacterium. Its description in RNAcentral is "partial 16S ribosomal RNA". It matches the Rfam family "Bacterial small subunit ribosomal RNA", at positions 524 to 776 of the family's 1533-position model. The record is from RNAcentral.
UACGGAGGAUGCGAGCGUUAUCCGGAUUUAUUGGGUUUAAAGGGUGCGCAGGCGGCACGGCAAGCCGGCGGUCAAAUCGCGGGGCUCAACCCCAUCCAGCCGUUGAAACUGAUGAUCUUGAGUGGGCGAGAAGUAUGCGGAAUGCGUGGUGUAGCGGUGAAAUGCAUAGAUAUCACGCAGAACUCCGAUUGCGAAGGCAGCAUACCGGCGCCCGACUGACGCUGAAGCACGAAAGCGUGGGUAUCGAACAGG